RNAcentral lists this ribosomal RNA (253 nucleotides) under uncultured bacterium. RNAcentral's name for it is "partial 16S ribosomal RNA". It matches the Rfam family "Bacterial small subunit ribosomal RNA", at positions 524 to 776 of the family's 1533-position model. The record is from RNAcentral.
UACGUAGGGGGCAAGCGUUGUCCGGAAUCAUUGGGCGUAAAGCGCGUGUAGGCGGUCCGGUAAGUCGGCUGUGAAAGUCCAGGGCUCAACCCUGGGAUGCCGGUCGAUACUGCCGGACUAGAGUUCGGAAGAGGCGAGUGGAAUUCCCGGUGUAGCGGUGAAAUGCGCAGAUAUCGGGAAGAACACCCGUGGCUAAGGCGGCUCUCUAGUACGGUACUGACGCUGAGACGCGAAAGCGUGGGGAGCGAACAGG